CAGUCGCCGCGGUAAGACAGAGGGUGCAAACGUUGUUCGGAAUUACUGGGCGUAAAGCGUGCGUAGGUGGUGGUUUAAGUCCGUUGUGAAAGCCCUGGGCUCAACCUGGGAAUUGCAGUGGAUACUGGGUCACUAGAGUGUGGUAGAGGAUAGUGGAAUUUCCGGUGUAGCAGUGAAAUGCGUAGAGAUCGGAAGGAACAUCUGUGGCGAAGGCGACUAUCUGGGCCAACACUGACACUGAGGCACGAAAGCGUGGGGAGCAAACAGGAUUAGAUACCCGAGUAGUCCCUGUCUCUUAUAA
Molecule: ribosomal RNA, 301 nt
Filed under: uncultured bacterium
Lineage: Bacteria
Description: partial 16S ribosomal RNA
Rfam family: Bacterial small subunit ribosomal RNA
Source: RNAcentral